CGGGGACAGCAAGGUCGUCCAUCAAAACACAUGGCUCAGUACAAAGCUGAGUUGGUGUACUUGCUUGAAUGAAGCAAAAAACAUCUUUAAUGAUCUGGGUUGGUGUAGGACAGGGGAGGGAAACUUCUUAUCCUGGAGGAAGGGCAGUAGAUUCAUGUUUUGUUCCAGUCCUACAGUCUCAGUUGAAGUUUUUGUUCCAGUCCUACAGUCUCAGUUGAAGUUUUUGUUCCAGUCCUACAGUCUCAGUUGAAGCCUCUGAAUGUUGCAUCCAAGGUCAUCCAGCAAAACACUACUUCAGCGCCAAAGCCAGGAGGCGUCUUCAGCGUUAAAGCCAGGAGGCCUCUUCAGCGUCAAAGCCAGGAGGCGUCUUCAGCGUCAAAGCCAGGAAGCGUCUUCAGAGUCAAAGUCAGGAAGCGUCUUCAGAGUCAAAGCCAGGAAUGAUCUUCAGCGUCAAAGCCAGGAAUGAUCUUCAGCGUCAAAGCCAGGAGGCCUCUUCAGUUGGAUUUCAUUAGAGGUCACAGCUUAGACCUUGUAUAACCCGCAACCAUUUAACCUUUGUUUUCAGAGUUAUAAUGAAAAUCCCCACGCUGUUAAAUUGGCCAAUGCCUGGCUGCAUACCAGAUGCAGUGUGGUCUGGGCUCAGUCAUGCUAAUAAUGCCAAUUAGUGUGUUAAUCAUGGAUUUAUUUAAGUGCAGACAUUCUUUGACCCUGGAUCAUUUGUCAGACCACGAACCUUUGUAAGUGGGAGACCGUCUUAGACGAACGUCAACCUGCGUCACAAAUGGCACCCUAUUCCCUACGUACGGAACUACGGGCCCUGGUUGAAAGUAGUGCACUAUAUACAGUGCCUUUAGGAAAGUAUUCCAAGGCCUUGAAUUUUUCUGUAUUUCGUUGUGUUACAGGCUGAAUAUGAA
This 914-nucleotide long non-coding RNA is filed under the name Salmo salar (Atlantic salmon). RNAcentral's name for it is "lncRNA (ENSSSAG00000113242.1)". The record is from RNAcentral. Lineage: Eukaryota; Metazoa; Chordata; Actinopteri; Salmoniformes; Salmonidae.